GACGAACGCUGGCGGCGUGCCUAAUACAUGCAAGUCGAACGCUGAAGGAGGAGCUUGCUUCUCUGGAUGAGUUGCGAACGGGUGAGUAACGCGUAGGUAACCUGCCUGGUAGCGGGGGAUAACUAUUGGAAACGAUAGCUAAUACCGCAUAAGAGUAGAUGUCGCAUGACAUUUGCUUAAAAGGUGCAAUUGCAUCACUACCAGAUGGACCUGCGUUGUAUUAGCUAGUUGGUGAGGUAACGGCUCACCAAGGCAACGAUACAUAGCCGACCUGAGAGGGUGAUCGGCCACACUGGGACUGAGACACGGCCCAGACUCCUACGGGAGGCAGCAGUAGGGAAUCUUCGGCAAUGGACGGAAGUCUGACUGAGCAACGCCGCGUGAGUGAAGAAGGUUUUCGGAUCGUAAAGCUCUGUUGUAAGAGAAGAACGAGUGUGAGAGUGGAAAGUUCACACUGUGACGGUAUCUUACCAGAAAGGGACGGCUAACUACGUG
Molecule: ribosomal RNA, 495 nt
Filed under: uncultured bacterium
Lineage: Bacteria
Description: partial 16S ribosomal RNA
Rfam family: Bacterial small subunit ribosomal RNA
Source: RNAcentral